AACAGGGAUUGCCCUAGUAACGGCGAGUGAAGCGGCAACAGCUCAAAUUUGAAAUCUGGCCUCGGCCCGAGUUGUAAUUUGCAGAGGAUGUUUCUGGCGCGGUGCCUUCCGAGUUCCCUGGAACGGGACGCCACAGAGGGUGAGAGCCCCGUAUGGUUGGACACCAAGCCUGUGUGAAACUCCUUCGACGAGUCGAGUAGUUUGGGAAUGCUGCUCAAAAUGGGAGGUAAAUCUCUUCUAAAGCUAAAUACUGGCCAGAGACCGAUAGCGCACAAGUAGAGUGAUCGAAAGAUGAAAAGCACCUUGAAAAGGGGGUUAAACAGUACGUGAAAUUGUUGAAAGGGAAGCGUUUAUGACCAGACUUGUGCCGGGCGGCUCAUCCGGGGUUCUCCCCGGUGCACUCCGCCCGGCUCAGGCCAGCAUCGGUUCUCGUUGGGGGAUAAGAACGGUAGGAACGUGGCCCUCCCUCGGGAGGGUGUUAUAGCCUGCCGUACGAUACCCUGAUGGGGACCGAGGUUCGCGCUCCGCAAGGAUGCUGGCGUAAUGGUCAUCAGCGACCCGUCUUGAAACACGGACCAAGGAGUCGUCCAUUAGAGCGAGCGUUUGGGUGUCAAACCCGCACGCGUAAUGAAAGUGAAAUUAGGUGAGAGCUUCGGCGCAUCAUCGACCGAUCCUGAUGUUCUCGGAUGGAUUUGAGUAAGAGUUUUAACGGACGGACCCGAAAGACAGUGAACUAUGCUUGUAUAGGGUGAAGCCAGAGGAAACUCUGGUGGAGGCUCGCAGCGGUUCUGACGUGCAAAUCGAUCGUCAAAUAUGAGCAUGGGGCGAAAGACUAAUCGCCG
RNAcentral lists this ribosomal RNA (842 nucleotides) under Dwiroopa lythri. RNAcentral describes it as "partial large subunit ribosomal RNA". It matches the Rfam family "Eukaryotic large subunit ribosomal RNA", at positions 67 to 942 of the family's 3401-position model. Lineage: Eukaryota; Fungi; Ascomycota; Sordariomycetes; Diaporthales; Dwiroopaceae. The record is from RNAcentral.